UGUCCAAUGCGGGAAUCGAACCCGGGUCGUAGUGGUCGAAAACCAAACGGUUUAACCAGCCUUCCACUGAUAUUCAUGAACCAAAAGAGGC
Molecule: non-coding RNA, 91 nt
Organism: Cordylochernes scorpioides
Lineage: Eukaryota; Metazoa; Arthropoda; Arachnida; Pseudoscorpiones; Chernetidae
Source: the annotation of a GenBank genome assembly